GCCGGAAGACUUCCUAGGGAUCUUAUUCGCAGAAUGUUUUCUCUGCUGAGCAAGAAAGAUAUUUUUCGCUGCAGUAAUUUGAUUCUUUUACAUGUUAAAAUGAAAUUAACACUUCACUUCGUUAAUACUUCAGAUGAAAAAAGAUUUAUCGAACAUACGGGCCCUAAUCCGGGAGCGAAUGAUCAGAGUUUCAGGAUCUUCUUUGUUGUGUUGGCGAGAUGAUAACGCACGUUUCAGGCUCUGAGGCUGAUGAUGGUGAAUUGGGAUGAAUAUUCAUUUAAACUUGGAAGAUAGUCUCAUAUGCUACACAUUGCUGUCGUGGCCUUCAAAACAUUCAUUUCAGGGGUCUUCUAUAAAUGAAACCGUCAUCGCAUCUGUUUAAAAUAUGCCCUCCAAAAACGCAACUCCUCAAGGACUGAACCAAUACUUUUGGAUUAGAAUGACUGUGGCAUCGGCAUGGGAAAAUGCAAAGAUUCCUUUUUUUUCCCAAUUUAAAUCCUCAAUAGAUGUGAUUUUUUGUAUACAUUUGACAUGUACCUUUUUUAAUUAAACUUUAUGUAGAAGUAUCAUGAAAUUAAAUUGUAUAUAAUAAAAUUAAUUGAAUUUGUA
Molecule: long non-coding RNA, 609 nt
Organism: Argiope bruennichi
Lineage: Eukaryota; Metazoa; Arthropoda; Arachnida; Araneae; Araneidae
Exons: 3
Source: RefSeq, a predicted model, not a curated record